UAGCAUAUCAAUAAGCGGAGGAAAAGAAACUAACAAGGAUUCCCCUAGUAACUGCGAGUGAAGCGGGAAAAGCUCAAAUUUAAAAUCUGGCAGUCUUUGGCUGUCCGAGUUGUAAUCUAGAGAAGUGUUAUCCGCGCUGGACCGUGUACAAGUCUCCUGGAAUGGAGCGUCAUAGAGGGUGAGAAUCCCGUCUUUGACACGGACUACCAGGGCUUUGUGAUGCGCUCUCAAAGAGUCGAGUUGUUUGGGAAUGCAGCUCAAAAUGGGUGGUAAAUUCCAUCUAAAGCUAAAUAUUGGCGAGAGACCGAUAGCGAACAAGUACCGUGAGGGAAAGAUGAAAAGAACUUUGGAAAGAGAGUUAAACAGUACGUGAAAUUGCUGAAAGGGAAACGCUUGAAGUCAGUCGCGUCGUCCAGGGAUCAACCUUGCUUUUGCUUGGUGCACUUUCUGGUUGACGGGUCAGCAUCAAUUUUGACCAUUGGAAAAAUAUCAAGGGAAUGUGACAUCUUUGGAUGUGUUAUAGCCCUUGGUUGUAUACGAUGGUUGGGAUUGAGGAACUCAGCACGCCGCAAGGCCGGGUUUUUAACCACGUACGUGCUUAGGAUGCUGGCAUAAUGGCUUUAAUCGACCCGUCUUGAAACACGGACCAAGGAGUCUAACAUGCCUGCGAGUGUUUGGGUGGAAAACUCGAGCGCGUAAUGAAAGUGAAAGUUGAGAUCCCUGUCGUGGGGAGCAUCGACGCCCGGACCAGACCUUUUGUGACGGUUCCGCGGUAGAGCAUGUAUGUUGGGACCCGAAAGAUGGUGAACUAUGCCUGAAUAGGGUGAAGCCAGAGGAAACUCUGGUGGAGGCUCGUAGCGAUUCUGACGUGCAAAUCGAUCGUCAAAUUUGGGUAUAGGGGCGAAAGACUAAUCGAACCAUCUAGUAACUGGUUCCUGCCGA
Molecule: ribosomal RNA, 942 nt
Filed under: uncultured Cortinarius
Lineage: Eukaryota; Fungi; Basidiomycota; Agaricomycetes; Agaricales; Cortinariaceae
Description: eukaryotic LSU rRNA
Rfam family: Eukaryotic large subunit ribosomal RNA
Source: RNAcentral